This 879-nucleotide long non-coding RNA is filed under the name Physcomitrium patens. Its description in RNAcentral is "long non-coding RNA (PPAT_LNC006949)". The record is from RNAcentral. Lineage: Eukaryota; Viridiplantae; Streptophyta; Bryopsida; Funariales; Funariaceae.
UUCAUCCCUAUUGGUCGAAUACCAUGCCCAAUGGGCUUUGAGGAGGCUGCCCGAGGCCAUAUUAGGGAUUAGGGUUCCUCUUUCGAGGCCAUUCGAGCUUUUGAGGCUAGGAUCAGAAGGUUUAGGGUUUUGGGUAUAAUUUGGGUGAAGAUUUUGUGUGAUUUCGAGUUUUUAUGGAAAAGAUAUGAGUGUUCAAAGAUAAGGUGUCAAUUUCGUACCUACUGUCACUUCUUUUGGGCAUCACAUACGAAUACGGAGAGCAACAGAAGAUCGGCGACUGGAUUUGGAGGGAGCAUUUUCUCGGCUACACAUUCUACUUACUGUAUAGUGAAUUCUAAGAUUGGGUGAAGGAGUUAUGAGGCGUUGAAGACAGCACUUGUAAUUUGAAGGCAGUAAGUAUAUUGUUUUGUUGCUAGUUAUGGGUGGAGCCAUAUCUUGAGUUUCUAGACGAAUUUUUGGCUCAAAAUUUCUACAAGUGUGUAUAAUUGGGUUAAGAAGCUUUAGAUCAAAGUUUCAUAGUAUUUGAAUAAUUACUUUGUGAGAUAUGAAGGAAGUUGUACACGGAUGUAAAAAAGCUAGGGUUUGAAGCUACAGUUAAUGUUUUCAAGAUAUCACAAGAUCCGAGACGAAUUUACGGUUGAAUUUUGGUGUGGUAGUUGCUAAAGAUAUAUCAGUACUCCAUGUACAAUUUGGAGUUGUUUAGACGGUUAGAUCGUAAGUUAUGAGCUGUUGAACUUCGGGAAAAAUUCCUCAUAAGGAUAUAUAAGUUUUUUGUAACACCUUAUCAAGUAUUUUGGUGUUCUUUGGAUUUUAAGGCUUGUAUAUUGAUGUAAUUGCUCCAAAUGAGAUGAGUUUAUAUAUAUAUAAUUUUUAUCCUUA